RNAcentral lists this ribosomal RNA (253 nucleotides) under uncultured bacterium. RNAcentral describes it as "partial 16S ribosomal RNA". It matches the Rfam family "Bacterial small subunit ribosomal RNA", at positions 524 to 776 of the family's 1533-position model. The record is from RNAcentral.
UACAUGGGGGGCAAGCGUUGUUCGGAAUUACUGGGCGUAAAGGGCUCGUAGGCGGCCAACUAAGUCGGACGUGAAAUCCCAAAGCUUAACUUUGGAACUGCGUCGGAUACUGGAUGGCUUGAAUUCGGGAGAGGGAUGCAGAAUUCCAGGUGUAGCGGUGAAAUGCGUAGAUAUCUGGAGGAAUACCGGUGGCGAAGGCGGCAUCCUGGACCGACAUUGACGCUGAGGAGCGAAAGCUAGGGGAGCAAACGGG